Molecule: microRNA precursor, 101 nt
Filed under: Nannospalax galili (Upper Galilee mountains blind mole rat)
Lineage: Eukaryota; Metazoa; Chordata; Mammalia; Rodentia; Spalacidae
Description: miRNA (ENSNGAG00000003513.1)
Source: RNAcentral
GGUGUGGCUUGCUGGAGGAAGUGUGUCACUGGGGGUGGGCUUUGAGGGUCCUCAGCUCAUCCUACUGGUUUGCUCUCUAUUUCCUGUUUGCCACUGGAGAU